GCGGGAUUGGUCUAGUGGUUAUGACCUCAGUUUUCCAAACUGAUGAGAAGGGUCCGAUUCCCUUAUCCCGCUCCA
RNAcentral lists this transfer RNA (75 nucleotides) under Minisyncoccota bacterium. Its description in RNAcentral is "tRNA-Gly". It matches the Rfam family "tRNA". Rfam says of the family: Transfer RNA (tRNA) molecules are approximately 80 nucleotides in length. The record is from RNAcentral. Lineage: Bacteria; Bacillati; Minisyncoccota.